UCAGAAUGCAGAAGAAAACUCUACGAUUUGAAUAUCAUAUGUGAAAGAGAAAGAAGAGGUUGUGGUCCCUGACACAGACUGAAGUUCCUCCACCAGGUUUACCCCAUCCUUCUGGAGCACGACGACUGUUUUGUUAAGUGUGACUCGCCAAAAGACCUUGACAUCUUCAAAGGCCCUGUGAGCAAGAAACCCACCAAUGCCUUAACAGAGGGUGUCAUCCCCAUGUCUAAUAGAGUUUAUUAUCAAAUAAUGGUACCUCUUCAUCCAAAGUAUACCAAAUGGUACCUCUUCAUCCAAAGUAUAGCACUUACUUUACCACUGAUGAUGCAGAAAAUGACCAAUUUUCCUCACUACAGAUAAGAGGAUUAAGCCUCAGGGCUUAUGUGGUUUUCUUUGAAUACACUCCAUUCAACAAUGAAUAAGUAUCCUAAUACUCUGUAUAAGGAAUGUAAAAACAAAUAAUAUUUUUCGAGAAGGAAAUAAAGGGCAUCCAAUUAGGAAAAGAGGAAGUCAAAUUGUCCCUGUUUGCAGAUGACAUGAUUGUAUAUUUAGAAAACCCCAUCAUCUCAGCCCAGAAUCUCCUUAAGCUGAUAAGCAACUUCAGCAAAGUCUCAGGAUACAAAAUCAAUGUACAGAAAUCACAAGCACCCUUAUACACCAAUAACAGACAAACAGAGAGCCAAAUCAUGAGUGAACUCCCAUUCACAAUUGCUUCAAA
RNAcentral lists this long non-coding RNA (718 nucleotides) under Homo sapiens (human). RNAcentral describes it as "HSALNT0091228". Lineage: Eukaryota; Metazoa; Chordata; Mammalia; Primates; Hominidae. The record is from RNAcentral.